AGGAGGCAUCGUUCAAAGGGUGGUACGGGUAUGCUCUGUAUCAAGCGCUCCAGGAUGGGACUGCGGCCGAUCAGGCUGUUGGCGGGGUAAUGGCCCACCAAACCUGUAACCGGUACGGGCUUUGAGAGAAGGAGCCCGGAGAUGGACACUGAGACAAGGUUCCAGGCCCUACGGGGCGCAUCAGGCGCGGAAACUUCGCAAUGCGCGAAAGCGUGACGAGGCUAAUCCGAGUGCCGUCCGCUGAGGAUGGCUUUUCUCGGCUGUAAAAAGGCAGGGGAAUAAGGGGAGGGCAAGUCUGGUGUCAGCCGCCGCGGUAAUACCAGCUCCUCGAGUGGUCAGGACGAUUAUUGGGCCUAAAGCACCCGUAGCCGGUUCCGUAAGUCCUCUGUUAAAUCCAACCGCCCAACGGUUGAGCUGCAGAGGAUACUGCGGGACUAGGAGGCGGGAGAGGCGGACGGUACUCCGCGGGUAGGGGUAAAAUCCUUUGAUCCGCGGAAGACCACCAGUGGCGAAGGCGGUCCGCCAGAACGCGCUCGACGGUGAGGGGUGAAAGCUGGGGGAGCGAACCGGAUUAGAUACCCGGGUAGUCCCAGCCGUAAACGAUGCGAGCUAGAUGAUUCAUUCGCAGUUCGCGAAUGAAGUGUCGCAGGGAAGCCGUUA
RNAcentral lists this ribosomal RNA (660 nucleotides) under uncultured archaeon. Its description in RNAcentral is "bacterial SSU rRNA". It matches the Rfam family "Archaeal small subunit ribosomal RNA", at positions 175 to 817 of the family's 1478-position model. The record is from RNAcentral.